AGAGUUUGAUCCUGGCUCAGAUUGAACGCUGGCGGCAUGCCUUACACAUGCAAGUCGAACGGCAGCGGACCUUCGGGUGCCGGCGAGUGGCGAACGGGUGAGUAAUGUAUCGGAACGUACCUUUCAGUGGGGGAUAACGUAGCGAAAGUUACGCUAAUACCGCAUAUUCUGUGAGCAGGAAAGCAGGGGAUCGCAAGACCUUGCGCUGAUUGAGCGGCCGAUAUCAGAUUAGCUAGUUGGUGAGGUAAAGGCUCGCCAAGGCGACGAUCUGUAGCGGGUCUGAGAGGAUGAUCCGCCACACUGGAACUGAGACACGGUCCAGACUCCUACGGGAGGCAGCAGUGGGGAAUUUUGGACAAUGGGGGCAACCCUGAUCCAGCCAUGCCGCGUGAGUGAAGAAGGCCUUCGGGUUGUAAAGCUCUUUCGGCCGGGAAGAAAUCGCAUGGG
RNAcentral lists this ribosomal RNA (447 nucleotides) under uncultured bacterium. RNAcentral's name for it is "bacterial SSU rRNA". It matches the Rfam family "Bacterial small subunit ribosomal RNA", at positions 8 to 459 of the family's 1533-position model. The record is from RNAcentral.